AUUUUCACUGGAAAGUCUUAAUCGAUUAAUUUGCGGAGAACUGAGAAACCUCUGGCAUCUUGCAAGGUCCUUAUUACCACUGAUCUCUUUUAACCCCCAAUAUACUAUUUUUGAUAUUUAUUAUGAAAAGAAAGAAAAAAAGAAAAGAUCCAGCAAACCGGUGGAGACAUUCCCUUUGAACUUCCUGGGAGCUGCUACUGAAUAAGAUGGCUCUAAAAUGUCACACAUACCUGAUAACUAAUUAUAGUGGAAUCUCAGAAUCUCAGCAUUACUUCUGGAUGGCAACAUAAUCUGGAAUUGGAGGUGUUCCUGGUGCAUCUCACUACUGGUA
This is a non-coding RNA of Pantherophis guttatus, 331 nucleotides long. NCBI's taxonomy places the organism in Eukaryota, Metazoa, Chordata, Lepidosauria, Squamata, Colubridae. The record is from RefSeq and is a predicted model, not a curated record.